This 468-nucleotide ribosomal RNA is filed under the name uncultured bacterium. Its description in RNAcentral is "partial 16S ribosomal RNA". It matches the Rfam family "Bacterial small subunit ribosomal RNA", at positions 28 to 507 of the family's 1533-position model. The record is from RNAcentral.
GACGAACGCUGGCGGCGUGCUUAACACAUGCAAGUCGAACGGAAAGGCCCUGCUUUUGUGGGGUGCUCGAGUGGCGAACGGGUGAGUAACACGUGAGUAACCUGUCCUUGACUUUGGGAUAACUUCAGGAAACUGGGGCUAAUACCGGAUAGGAGCUCCUGCUGCAUGGUGGGGGUUGGAAAGUUUCGGCGGUUGGGGAUGGACUCGCGGCUUAUCAGCUUGUUGGUGGGGUAGUGGCUUACCAAGGCUUUGACGGGUAGCCGGCCUGAGAGGGUGACCGGCCACAUUGGGACUGGGAUACGGCCCAGACUCCUACGGGAGGCAGCAGUGGGGAAUAUUGCACAAUGGGCGGAAGCCUGAUGCAGCAACGCCGCGUGCGGGAUGACGGCCUUCGGGUUGUAAACCGCUUUCGCCUGUGACGAAGCGUGAGUGACGGUAAUGGGUAAAGAAGCACCGGCUAACUACGUG